This 484-nucleotide ribosomal RNA is filed under the name uncultured bacterium. RNAcentral's name for it is "partial 16S ribosomal RNA". It matches the Rfam family "Bacterial small subunit ribosomal RNA", at positions 30 to 507 of the family's 1533-position model. The record is from RNAcentral.
AUUGAACGCUGGCGGCAGGCCUAACACAUGCAAGUCGAGCGGAUGAAGGGAGCUUGCUCCUGGAUUCAGCGGCGGACGGGUGAGUAAUGCCUAGGAAUCUGCCUGGUAGUGGGGGAUAACGUCCGGAAACGGGCGCUAAUACCGCAUACGUCCUGAGGGAGAAAGUGGGGGAUCUUCGGACCUCACGCUAUCAGAUGAGCCUAGGUCGGAUUAGCUAGUUGGUGGGGUAAAGGCCUACCAAGGCGACGAUCCGUAACUGGUCUGAGAGGAUGAUCAGUCACACUGGGACUGAGAGACGGACCAGAGUCCUACGGGAGGAAGCAGUAGGGAAGAUUCGGCAAUGGACGAAAGUUGGACCGAGCAAUGCCGCGUGAGUGAAGAAGGUUUUCGGAUCGUAAAACUCUGUUGUUAGAGAAGAACAAGGACGUUAGUAACUCAACGUCCCCUGACGGUAUCUAACCAGAAAGCCACGGCUAACUACGUG